Molecule: transfer RNA, 93 nt
Filed under: Micromonospora fulviviridis
Lineage: Bacteria; Bacillati; Actinomycetota; Actinomycetes; Micromonosporales; Micromonosporaceae
Description: tRNA-Arg
Source: RNAcentral
CGGCCCCGCUGGUCGGCGUCGAGCACCUGCUCAGCGGCAGCGGUCGGUGAGCCGGGGCCGGCUCGCCGCCACGCUCGGCUCGUGGCGGGCCGC